GUACGCUGGCGGCACGCCUAACACAUGCAAGUCGAACGAAGUAGCAAUACUUAGUGGCGAACGGGUGAGUAUAAUGUGGGUAUCUGCCUUUUGGUUUGGAAUAACACGGGGAAACUUGUGCUAAUACCGGAUAAGCCUUCACAGGGAAAGUUUUAACGCCAAAAGAUGAGCCCGCACUUGAUUAGCUAGUUGGUAAGGUAAUAGCUUACCAAGGCUACGAUCAAUAGCUGAUCUGAGAGGAUGAUCAGCCACAUUGGGACUGAGACACGGCCCAAACUCCUACGGGAGGCAGCAGUGGGGAAUCUUGCACAAUGGGGGAAACCCUGAUGCAGCGAUGCCGCGUGAGUGAAGAAGGCCUUUGGGUUGUAAAACUCUUUCGUCGGGGAAGAAAAUGACUGUACCCGAAUAAGAAGGUCCGGCUAACUUCGUGCCAGCAGCCGCGGUAAUACGAAGGGACCUAGCGUAGUUCGGAAUUACUGGGCUUAAAGAGCUCGUAGGUGGUUAGAAAAGUUGGUGGUGAAAUCCCAAGGCUUAACCUUGGAACUGCCACCAAAACUUUUUGACUAGAGUAUGAUAGAGGAAAGUGGAAUUUCUAGUGUAGAGGUGAAAUUCGUAGAUAUUAGAAAGAACACCGAUUGCGAAGGCAGCUUUCUGGAUCAUUACUGACACUGAGGAGCGAAAGCAUGGGUAGCGAAGAGGAUUAGAUACCCUCGUAGUCCAUGCCGUAAACGAUGUG
Molecule: ribosomal RNA, 736 nt
Filed under: uncultured bacterium
Lineage: Bacteria
Description: bacterial SSU rRNA
Rfam family: Bacterial small subunit ribosomal RNA
Source: RNAcentral